AUGCGGGGCGCCCACUGCCCAGGCCCCGCCCACCCGAGGACGCAUCACGGGAGCGGCAUUUACCUCGCUGUAUCCUGUGCGCCCUCUCGGUCCUGGCGGAGGGCCUGGGGGUGCCUCCCGUCAGGGCUCAGAGGGACUAAUGAUGCUUGCCUCUCGCCCCCUCUCUCCCCCCUCCCCGCACCUGCACUGCCCCCCAGGGACGCUCCGGACGCAGGCCCACCAGGGAGACUUCAUCUGCGUGGAGUGUGGGAAGAGCUUCCACCAGCCCAGCCACCUGCGGGCGCACAUGCGGGCUCACACAGGGGAGAGACCAUUCUAACGCAGAUGCUGUCCAAACAGUGCCUCUCAGAAAGGGAACCUAGAGAUACACUUGGUCAGUUCUGGUGCCGUGACCUCGUCCGCAGCCCCCUCCUGGACGUCCCAACAGCCACCCUGGCUGCCCCAUGGAAGACCCCCCCAGCCGGACACCGCCUCGCAUCCUGCAGCCGCCCGCCGGAGCGGAAGCUGAAGGGGGGCUUCUUGUCACGUGUCUAAACAUCGGUGAAGAUGCUCUUCUUAGAAUUACAUGUAGAUAUUCUAUACGCAUCCACGUGCUCACCAACCAUAGUCCGUGUUUUUUUACAGUAAGCGAGGUGUUGGCAGGCACGGUAGGAACACAGAGCAUCUGUAUCAUUCAAGACAUGUUCGAGACACUGGAAAGAUGCUCGUGUGUCGGACAGACUGGAGCAGCCACGCAGGAUUUUGGAGGACCGCGGGGGUGACGUCGGGACUGACGGCGGGGGGCCAGGAGGGCGGGGUGCUGAUGGAUGCCCCGGCCUGUCCGCGUCUUAGUGCGUAUUUAAAAUAGUAAAUAAGAGGCAGGACGGGCGUUCAGGUGCUGUGGAAGCAGGCUGGAAGGGGCGGCGGGGGGCCCGGGUGACAAGGUCCUCCGUUUUCAGGGGUCCCACCACCUGUCCCAGCUGAGUUCCCCUCCCAUCUGUGCCCAGUGAACCCGAAAGAGGUGACGCGGCCAUGGGAAGGCUUUGACUGUGUUUCGGGAAAGAGCACUAGUUGAACACUAAGAAAAGCAGGCUUCUUUGUUUAUUCUCAGGACCUUCUGGUAACAGGGCUACAUUCUGCAAACUGCUUACAACGGAAGACUGCCCGUCUUAACAAAUGAUCUAGCCACUGAACCCCCCCACCCCCGACCUGGACCCUUUGAGUCAAGCGGGAGAACCCCUGGAGCAGGUGGGGGGCCAGGUCAUCCCUGGGCCCUGGCACUCUGGGGUCCUCCUGCACCCCUGCCUUCCCGUCCAUCUGUCCCAGCAAGUAGGCAUCUUUUCUUCUCGGGCCUGGGGGACUCGUUCCCAGACCGGGGAAGCCCCCAGGCCCGUAGGUGGGGGCGGCUUUACAUACCUCUUCCUCAGUCACACAGAGGCAAGUUUUAGCGGGGGGUUAAGGCCCGUAAGAAAGGAUCUUACGCCUUGCAGUGUAUGCAGUUAAAAUUGUACUCCGCAGAGAUAAAUGUUUUCUUUUCCCAUCGCCAUGACACUGUGUGUGAUGGCGGGGUUUCUGAGACGUUCAGGUUUUUGCACAUAGUGAUCUUAUGCAUUAUCACAAGUUACUGCUGCCUUGAAUGAAAAUGUUCUGUGAAAGUUUUUGCAAAAGCUUUACUAGGUUUUUUUUUUUUUAAUUGUGAAAUUUUGUAAAGGCAGGAAACGGAUUAAAACGAGCAUGCUAAAUAUAUUUUUCAAAAAAGCAAUAAUUUUACGUGUACAGAAAUUAUCCUAACCUUUAAUACUGGUGAGAGCGACAGUUUACUUAAUUCAGUAAUGGAUUAGUGCAGUUUUUGUAGAAAUGGGCUUCGGAUACAAAGAAUUGUUUAAACACACACACAUACAAACCCUGAAGUGUGGUUUUCCUGUUCUAAUGAUUUGUUGAAUUAUAUUAUUAUUAUUAUUAUUGUUAUUGUUGUUGUUCUUAGUUAAUGUUUGGUUCUGGAUUCUACUUGUUACUGAAUUUAAAUUACUUGACGGUUCAGGUUACUUUGCAGCAUUUGCAAACGAUGCAAUGUAACUGGCUAGCUUAUAUCUAUAAAUAUAUAUACAUGUAUGUACACACACAUAUAUAUGCAUAUAUGUGUAUGUAUAUAUAUAUAACUUUUUUACUUAUUUUUUCCUGAUAUUCUUACACGAGAUAUGUUGCAGAAUGACCUGUCGUGUUGGUGUCAUUAGGGAUGUCCAUGCAGAUAUGAUCAGCGGCUGUAAUUGACUGUCCUGUCAAGUUACUUUGAACAAAGCCACAAAGACACAUUCCUUUGUUCACGCUGGGAAUCAGAAUGCCUUUCUGUCGACUUACGUUUGAUCACGUCUGUAGUCUCCCCGCAGUGAUCAUUUCUGCAUUUUCUGGCUUUUAUUUUCUUGGCUGACAGUGAAGGGUGACAGUUCAGGGCCUGCUGUUUCUCUGUGUUUCAGUUAUUAAAGGAGCUCUGUACACAACGUGGCACGGAGGAGUUGCCUAUGCGUGCACCUUCGGAGCCACAGACGGCAUCCUGGGAGUCCCUCUGUGGGCAGCCUGCUGGAAGGGGUGCGUCCUGGGGCCCCGUUGGCCCGGACACAUGGCCCGAGCCAGUUGGAAUACGUGUUUCUGCCCGGAGCACAGAAAUAAAGUUUUCACUUCAUUCA
RNAcentral lists this long non-coding RNA (2663 nucleotides) under Bos mutus (wild yak). RNAcentral's name for it is "lncRNA (ENSBMUG00000002646.1)". Lineage: Eukaryota; Metazoa; Chordata; Mammalia; Artiodactyla; Bovidae. The record is from RNAcentral.